GUCCCUGUAGCGCAAUGGAUAGCGCGUUGGACUUCUAAUCCAAAGAUUGUGGGUUCGAAUUCCAUUUGAGAUA
This 73-nucleotide transfer RNA is filed under the name Trichonephila inaurata madagascariensis. It matches the Rfam family "tRNA". Rfam says of the family: Transfer RNA (tRNA) molecules are approximately 80 nucleotides in length. Their secondary structure includes four short double-helical elements and three loops (D, anti-codon, and T loops). The record is from Rfam by way of RNAcentral. Lineage: Eukaryota; Metazoa; Arthropoda; Arachnida; Araneae; Nephilidae.